This 70-nucleotide transfer RNA is filed under the name Callanthias japonicus. Its description in RNAcentral is "tRNA-Pro". Lineage: Eukaryota; Metazoa; Chordata; Actinopteri; Callanthiidae. The record is from RNAcentral.
CUGAGGGUAGUUUUAACUAGAAUACUGGCUGUGGGAGUCAGUGGUAAAGGCUAAAUUCCUUUCCCUUAGA